CAUUUGUUCCCUAAAUAGGGACUUGUAUGAAUGGCCACACGAGGGUUUUACUGUCUCUUACUUCCAAUCAGUGAAAUUGACCUUCCCGUGAAGAGGCGGGAAUAAAAAAAUAAGACGAGAAGACCCUAUGGAGCUUUAACUAACUAGUCCAAAGAAAAUAAACCUACCACCAAGGGACAACAAAAUUCUCUAUGAACUAAUAGUUUCGGUUGGGGUGACCUCGGAGAAUAAAGAAUCCUCCGAGCGAUUUUAAAGACAAGACCUACAAGUCAAAUCAAACCAUCGCUUAUUGAUCCAAAAAAUUUGAUCAACGGAACAAGUUACCCUAGGGAUAACAGCGCA
This 342-nucleotide ribosomal RNA is filed under the name Kobus vardonii (puku). RNAcentral describes it as "partial 16S ribosomal RNA". It matches the Rfam family "Bacterial large subunit ribosomal RNA", at positions 1966 to 2484 of the family's 2925-position model. The record is from RNAcentral. Lineage: Eukaryota; Metazoa; Chordata; Mammalia; Artiodactyla; Bovidae.